ACUGCCGCACUCGGUUUGGUCAUGUGAACCGGAUCCACCCGCAUCUGCAUCCGGUUCACACAGCGGCGGUUGUUCUAAAUCGUUGCUCCUCUGACUUCUGCGCCUCGACUUUCCAAACUGGAAUUUUCAAACCUGCAGCUCUUCGCGCCAGACAUAUUACUUAGUUUUACAGAAGUGUUCAUCAGGAUCGAUCUCUACAAUUCAGAUAAAAUGAACAGAAAGACUGGGCUUGUCUCCAACUCCACCAUUAGACGCAGGGUCCGUCAAGAUGUUCAAAAAAGACUUGACCAAAUUAGGGACGACUGCGCAGAUAGAACUGCCUUUCAACUGACACCAGAGAGGGAACAUGUAGAUGUCAGUGGGGAGUCUUUGGAAAGUAUAAAUUGCACAGAAGAUGCAAAUUGUCUGGACAAAUGGAUGUUCCAUCUGAUUGAAUUCUUGGACAGCAAAACAGUAGCAGUCGAUACAAAGCUGGUACAGUGGUGGUG
Molecule: long non-coding RNA, 488 nt
Organism: Pseudoliparis swirei
Lineage: Eukaryota; Metazoa; Chordata; Actinopteri; Perciformes; Liparidae
Exons: 4
Source: RefSeq, a predicted model, not a curated record